GACGAACGCUGGCGGCGUGCUUAACACAUGCAAGUCGAACGGAAAGGCCCUGCUUUUGUGGGGUGCUCGAGUGGCGAACGGGUGAGUAACACGUGAGUAACCUGCCCUUGACUUUGGGAUAACUUCAGGAAACUGGGGCUAAUACCGGAUAGGAGCUCCUGCUGCAUGGUGGGGGUUGGAAAGUUUCGGCGGUUGGGGAUGGACUCGCGGCUUAUCAGCUUGUUGGUGGGGUAGUGGCUUACCAAGGCUUUGACGGGUAGCCGGCCUGAGAGGGUGACCGGCCACAUUGGGACGGAGAUACGGCCCAGACUCCUACGGGAGGCAGCAGUGGGGAAUAUUGCACAAUGGGCGGAAGCCUGAUGCAGCAACGCCGCGUGCGGGAUGAUGGCCUUCGGGUUGUAAACCGCUUUCGCCUGUGACGAAGCGUGAGUGACGGUAAUGGGUAAAGAAGCACCGGCUAACUACGUG
Molecule: ribosomal RNA, 468 nt
Filed under: uncultured bacterium
Lineage: Bacteria
Description: partial 16S ribosomal RNA
Rfam family: Bacterial small subunit ribosomal RNA
Source: RNAcentral